AGUGACAGAAUGUUACCAAAAGAAGAACUUUAAUCACGUGACGUGACGUCAGCACAUCCCGGACGUUUAAGACAACUGCCAGGCCUCUUCCAUAUGUGUGAUAUGCAGUCAGGUCGCGUUCAGCACACCUAUACCUACCUACCUCAUCCACAGGUGACCAAGGUGACAAUCCUUGAGAAUGAGGGAAAUCCGCGGGCGGGCCUACGAGUCCUUUGGAAGAAUCAAACAGAAGAUGGAGGUUUGGACUUGUGUAGUGACUGUCGACCAUCCUCACCAUAUUGUCCACACGGAG
Entelurus aequoreus (snake pipefish) is the source of this 292-nucleotide long non-coding RNA. RefSeq lists it as uncharacterized. The record is from RefSeq and is a predicted model, not a curated record. The transcript has 3 exons. NCBI's taxonomy places the organism in Eukaryota, Metazoa, Chordata, Actinopteri, Syngnathiformes, Syngnathidae.